This 337-nucleotide ribosomal RNA is filed under the name Nannophlebia sp. SMB-2007. Its description in RNAcentral is "partial 12S ribosomal RNA". The record is from RNAcentral. Lineage: Eukaryota; Metazoa; Arthropoda; Insecta; Odonata; Libellulidae.
GUAAUAGUUAUGUUCUUGAAACCCAAAGAAUUUGGCGGUACUUUAUUCCUUUUAGAGGAACCUGUCCUGUAAUUGAUAAUCCACGAUGGAUAAUUACUUAUUUUUGUAUUCAUUUUGUAUACCUCCGUCAUCAGAUUAUCUUUUUAGAGUAAAUAUUCUUAAUUUACAAAAUAUUAUAUGUCAGGUCAAGGUGCAAAUUAUGAAUAAGUAGAGAUGGGUUACAAUAAAUUUAUUUAUACGAAUUAAUAUUAUUAUGAAUAUUAUGAAGGUGGAUUUAAUAGUAAAUUUAAUACCUUAUUAUUUUGAUUUAGGAUCUAAAGUGUGCACACAUCGCCCG